GACCAAAGAGGGGGACCUUCGGGCCUCUUGCCAUCGGAUGUGCCCAGAUGGGAUUAGCUAGUAGGUGGGGUAACGGCUCACCUAGGCGACGAUCCCUAGCUGGUCUGAGAGGAUGACCAGCCACACUGGAACUGAGACACGGUCCAGACUCCUACGGGAGGCAGCAGUGGGGAAUAUUGCACAAUGGGCGCAAGCCUGAUGCAGCCAUGCCGCGUGUAUGAAGAAGGCCUUCGGGUUGUAAAGUACUUUCAGCGGGGAGGAAGGGAGUAAAGUUAAUACCUUUGCUCAUUGACGUUACCCGCAGAAGAAGCACCGGCUAACUCCGUGCCAGCAGCCGCGGUAAUACGGAGGGUGCAAGCGUUAAUCGGAAUUACUGGGCGUAAAGCGCACGUAGGCGGUUUGUUAAGUCAGAUGUGAAAUCCCCGGGCUCAACCUGGGAACUGCAUCUGAUACUGGCAAGCUUGAGUCUCGUAGAGGGGGGUAGAAUUCCAGGUGUAGCGGUG
Molecule: ribosomal RNA, 503 nt
Filed under: uncultured Pseudomonadota bacterium
Lineage: Bacteria; Pseudomonadati; Pseudomonadota
Description: bacterial SSU rRNA
Rfam family: Bacterial small subunit ribosomal RNA
Source: RNAcentral